Molecule: long non-coding RNA, 153 nt
Organism: Herpailurus yagouaroundi (jaguarundi)
Lineage: Eukaryota; Metazoa; Chordata; Mammalia; Carnivora; Felidae
Exons: 2
Source: RefSeq, a predicted model, not a curated record
AGUAGGACGUUUAACCCACUGAGCCACCCAGGCGCCCCUCUCCAUGUCCGUUUUUUACUGGCUUGCUGUGCACCCAGGAGACACAUCCUCCUCUGGUGCGGAUACAUAACCAUCGACCCUAGGGGAGGCUGUGACACACGGAUAAAAACCAAA